This is a long non-coding RNA of Monodelphis domestica (gray short-tailed opossum), 1670 nucleotides long. The record is from Ensembl. NCBI's taxonomy places the organism in Eukaryota, Metazoa, Chordata, Mammalia, Didelphimorphia, Didelphidae.
AUGGUAUAUUUUAUUUACAGAGCUUUUUUCUCCUUUCCUUUCUUCCUUCCUUCCUUCCUUCCUUCCUUCCUUCCUUCCUUCCUUCCUUCCUUCCUUCCUUCCUUCCUUCCUUCCUUCCUUCCUUCCCUCCUUUCUUCCUUCCUUCCUCUUUCUUUCUUUCUUUCUUUCUUUCUUUCUUUCUUUCUUUCUUUCUUUCUUUCUUUCUUUCUUUCUUUCUUUCUUUCUUUCUUUCUUUCUUUCUUUCUUUCUUUUUUCCUUUUUUCCUUCCUUCCUUCCUUCCUUCCUUCCUUCCUUCCUUCCUUCCUUCCUUCCUUCCUUCCUUCCUUCCUUCCUUCCUUCCUUCCUUCCUUCCUUCCUUUCUGGUAAGUUGUAACUUCAGAGUUGCUUUAAUUUGCAUUUCUCUAAUUUUUAGUGAUUUGAAGGAUGUUUUCAUAUACCUGUAGAAAGCCCACUUUUUACCCAUCAACCACUGGUUCCUGUAAUUCUUAUUGACCUUAAAGUGUAGGAAAUCUGUAUUGUCUUGGCCCUCUUCCUUCUUUAUACUGUCUCUCCUCAGUGGUCUCUUCCUCUCCCAUGUCUUGAACUAUUAACUCUUGAGAUGAUUCCUAAUCCUACUUCUUCCUCCUUGGCAUCUCCCUAGAGCUACAGUUCCAUAUUUCCAACUGACUAUGAAACAUGUCCUUAACUUCCUGCCAACAUUUCAUACUCAGCAUGUUCACAACAGGACUCAGGAUCAUUCUCCCCAAACUCCCUUUAACUGUUCUGUUUAUGUUGAUGGUAUCACUAUUCUCUAAUCAUUCAAAUUCGGAACUUCAGAGUCAUCAUUGACUCUUUUCUUUCCUCACCUCCUACACCCAAUCAGUUGUCAGGUCCUGUAAAAUGUUGUCUAUGGACUGCUUUCCACUUCCAUUGCUAUCAACCUGGCUUAGGCUUUAUACGGUAUUCACUGGCUUUAUUAUAAUGGCCUCCUAAGUGGUUUCCCAGCCUCUGUACUUUAACCCAAGAUUCAUAUUACAACUAAACUAAUCUUUCUAACACAUAGUUUAAUAGGAUGUAAGCUCCUUAAGGACAGAUACUGUCUCAUUUGUGUGUGUGUAUACACAUACAUAUAUUUUGGGUGUGUAAAUAUAUAAAAAAAUAAUUGUGUGUAUACACUUGUAUGUUGUAGUAAGCAAAGAAAGACUGCAUUAAGCGAAGCAUAAGCAUGUGACUCAGAAACUCAUGAGAGCCUGGGUCAACAUUCCAAAUGUGACGUGGGUUCCAACUGAACAACAGUUUUUUCUUCUGGAGCAGAAAUAGGAGCAGUAAGUGCGGCUGGUAGCUACAAUUUCAACAAUACAAAGAUACCACACUGGUCCUUAGAAGACAUCAGCUGUGGAGAGGGACUACUUCAGCCAGACUGCAGGUCAGGUGGACUGGAGAGUAUAAGGAAGAUUCAUCUACUUGGCUGAGAGCUGUUAUCUUUCCUUUUGGACUAUGGCCCAUUGGACUCAACUUUGUGAGAUACUAUUUAUGUGGGACUUAGCUUAGGAGGUUAGUCAAUAUAAUAGUUAUUAGGGAAAAUUAGUUUUGGGGAUAAGAUUUAGAAAUUUUCCUUCUCCUUGUUACCCUCAUUCCUAUUCCAUUUCCCCAUUAAUAAACUCAAAAUAUUUAGAACCUCUUGUUUCUUC